CAGGGAGACAACAAAAUGUUUAAUAUUAUUAUUUUGUCACCUUAGGUCGAUCGGUAUCUCACGUUCUUAAUUCGUUAAGAAUUUCAUUUCCUAAGUUUUUCUAGGUCACACCCAUUAUUUUUCCUGGGCCAUUAGCUCAGGUGGUUAGAGCGCACCCCUGAUAAGGGUGAGGUCCCUGGUUCAAGUCCAGGAUGGCCCAUAUCUCUAUGUUGGGGGUAUAGCUCAGUUGGUAGAGCGCCUGCUUUGCAAGCAGGAUGUCAGCGGUUCGAGUCCGCUUACCUCCACUGAUUACCACCUCUUCCAUAACCGAUAGAAAGGAAAUGUUUUGAGUUGUGAUCAUUAUUCUGAACGAAUCUAGCUUCCUAAUGAAAUCAUUAAGAUGCUGGACUCAUUGAAUUAAUUUUCAUUGUUUUCAGAGAACCUUGACAACUGCAUAGAUUAUUUUUAAAGACAAUAAGCAUCUUUAAUGAUGCAGAUUUAUUAUUUGUGCGAAUGCAUUAAUAACAAUUCUAUUAAGCUGAUGCUUCAAUUUUUGAAGUUAUU
RNAcentral lists this transfer RNA (543 nucleotides) under uncultured Prochlorococcus sp. Its description in RNAcentral is "partial 16S-23S ribosomal RNA intergenic spacer". The stretch from base 212 to 284 matches the Rfam family "tRNA". Lineage: Bacteria; Bacillati; Cyanobacteriota; Cyanophyceae; Synechococcales; Prochlorococcaceae. The record is from RNAcentral.